Molecule: ribosomal RNA, 440 nt
Filed under: uncultured bacterium
Lineage: Bacteria
Description: bacterial SSU rRNA
Rfam family: Bacterial small subunit ribosomal RNA
Source: RNAcentral
CCUACGGGGCGCACCAGUGGGGAAUAUUGGACAAUGGGCGAAAGCCUGAUCCAGCGAUGCCGCGUGUGUGAAGAAGGUCUUCGGAUUGUAAAGCGCUUUCUACGGGGACGAUGAUGACGGUACCCGUAGAAGAAGCCCCGGCUAACUUCGUGCCAGCAGCCGCGGUAAUACGAAGGGGGCUAGCGUUGCUCGGAAUGACUGGGCGUAAAGGGCGCGUAGGCGGUUUAUGCAGUCAGAUGUGAAAUCCCCGGGCUUAACCUGGGAACUGCAUUUGAGACGCAUAGACUAGAGGUCGAGAGAGGGUUGUGGAAUUCCCAGUGUAGAGGUGAAAUUCGUAGAUAUUGGGAAGAACACCGGUGGCGAAGGCGGCAACCUGGCUCGAUACUGACGCUGAGGCGCGAAAGCGUGGGGAGCAAACAGGAUUAGAUACCCCAGUAGUC